This 484-nucleotide ribosomal RNA is filed under the name uncultured bacterium. RNAcentral's name for it is "partial 16S ribosomal RNA". It matches the Rfam family "Bacterial small subunit ribosomal RNA", at positions 30 to 507 of the family's 1533-position model. The record is from RNAcentral.
AUUGAACGCUGGCGGCAGGCCUAACACAUGCAAGUCGAGCGGAUGAAGGGAGCUUGCUCCUGGAUUCAGCGGCGGACGGGUGAGUAAUGCCUAGGAAUCUGCCUGGUAGUGGGGGAUAACGUCCGGAAACGGGCGCUAAUACCGCAUACGUCCUGAGGGAGAAAGUGGGGGAUCUUCGGACCUCGCGCUAUCAGAUGAGCCUAGGUCGGAUUAGCUAGUUGGUGGGGUAAAGGCCUACCAAGGCGACGAUCCGUAACUGGUCUGAGAGGAUGAUCAGUCACACUGGAAAUGAGACACGGUACAGACUCCUACGGGAGGCAGCAGUGGGGAAUAUUGGACAAUGGGCGAAAGCCUGAUCCAGCCAUGCCGCGUGUGUGAAGAAGGUCUUCGGAUUGUAAAGCACUUUAAGUUGGGAGGAAGGGCAGUAAGUUAAUACCUUGCUGUUUUGACGUUACCAACAGAAUAAGCACCGGCUAACUUCGUG